CUCUUAUAAUUCUAAGGAGCAACCAGAAGGUGUAAACACAGAGAAAGUAGCUGUGUCCCAUAAUAUGAUCCGCUUCCUUCAAAGUUCACUUUAAAAACAAUGUGAUGAUCAGCAGUCUUCAU
This is a long non-coding RNA of Sander lucioperca (pikeperch), 122 nucleotides long. RefSeq lists it as uncharacterized. Lineage: Eukaryota; Metazoa; Chordata; Actinopteri; Perciformes; Percidae. The record is from RefSeq and is a predicted model, not a curated record. The transcript has 3 exons.